AGGACGAACGCUGGCGGCGUGCUUAACACAUGCAAGUCGAGCGGAAAGGCCCUUCGGGGUACUCGAGCGGCGAACGGGUGAGUAACACGUGAGUAAUCUGCCCCUAGCUCUGGGAUAGCUCCGGGAAACCGGGAUUAAUACUGGAUACGACCACCUUAGACAUCUUUUGUGGUGGAAAGAAUUUCGGCUAGGGAUGAGCUCGCGGCCUAUCAGCUUGUUGGUGGGGUAACGGCCUACCAAGGCGACGACGGGUA
Molecule: ribosomal RNA, 254 nt
Filed under: uncultured bacterium
Lineage: Bacteria
Description: partial small subunit ribosomal RNA
Rfam family: Bacterial small subunit ribosomal RNA
Source: RNAcentral